UCAUAUUUCUGCUAGCAGUUUACACCUUUUGCCUACCCUCUUCAACCUUGUAUAUCCAAUCACCUUCAAACUGUAUUUACACUGAAGCUCUGCCUUCCAUAUCCCCUGAAUGUGGGGGAGUGAGCAGGGCCUGUAGUUUGUGUUUCCAACCAAAAACAUCUUUGCUGCUAAACCUUGCUGUCCAUUGAGGUAGGUGGCAGCACCAAGGAUUUUGGAUUCACAAAGGCGUAAAGCAGUGAGGAUUUUUCAGAGCUCUGUAAUCCAAAACCCUGUUGAGACUAGGCCUGAUAUGAAUGCUGUAUCAGUGGCUAAGGGCGUUAUAAAUAACUGUGCUCUGCAAUUUCUAUUACCACUUUUUUGGUACUUUUCCUAAUAGAUAAUACAGUGGUUGCACCUGCCACCACCAAAACCACGUCAGGAAUCCCAGCAGGCCCUUCUAUGAUUUUUACCAAUUCUAUGGAUAUAAUGGGACUCAAACUAGACUUUUCACUAGGCAUGUGGUCCAAGGAUGGUUCAGUACACGUCCUUUCACCCAUACUUUAAAGAGCCAUAGUGCUCUUUAGUACCUUCCUUACUGUCAAGGAAAAUAAGCUGCUGUUGCAUACUUUGUUUUACCACUGCUUUUUCCUUAUCUUAAAUUUCUGAUCUUUGCUGUGAUUCUGAGUUCCCUUGAGUUCCAGCUCCCUGAUCUCCUAUUUUGCAUUGAAGGCUCUUCCAUCUUUUGACUGUUUGUGAUGAAUUCUUUUCAGUUCUGAAGGGGCCCAGAGCCGUAUUUCUCUAGAAGAAUGCUCUGGGAUUGGUAACUUGAAGUGAGUGUUUCUGGAAAGCGUCCAAGGGCAACCAUAUAGUGGGGUACUCUUUCUUUCUCCAGGAAUAUGCUGCUUACAGACUACCCAUAAUAUAUGCUUGUUUAACACCCUCUGGUGAAUUUAUUCCCUGAGUGUGUCACCUUGGUUUUUAAGCCAGCUAGUGCUUUUAGCCUCUGCAAAGUUCCUGUGUAUGCCCAGAAGAUCUCUAUUUAGACAUGGAAAGUAUUUUAUUUUGUUUUGAGCCUGUGGCCUCUCCCUUUGUAGUCGCCUACAUCCUAGUACUGUAUGAUGUGGCAAAUAAUUGGCCCUGAGGUCAACCAGCUUUAGUUUUACUGAUCUCUUUUGCUCCCUCCUUUAGUGUCUGCUUUCUAAAUAGAAAGGUUUCUAGCACGGCCAAUGCCUCCCCAAGGAGAACUCUUCCCCUUGCUCUGUACCUUUUGCUUCCUUAUCUUGUUCACUUUUACUGUGCUCUGUGCCCGAGCUUGCCUCAGGCUCUGAACACAAACACCACCCCACUUUCUCCUCCUUUGAGUCAAUCCCAGGUGCCCAGAUGUCUUCUGGCAUGCAAAUCUGUUCCUGUGGAAGAACAGAAAGCGGAGCAGUGCUUGCCCACCUGCAGCAAAGGAAGCCAACAGGACAGGAUGUUUUGUCAGAACAAACUCUGACAGCUUCUCCAUUUAGUUCACCUAGAUAGGAGUUUCACUGCUCACACACGAGAGAGAGGACCUUUUGCUGGUCAAUGUUACACCUAGUGUGGCAAAGACUUGUUUGGUAUUUUCAGAUGCCUUCAAAUGCCUGAUUUGAGUCAUUUGAAACCAUAAACCCUGCAAGUGUAUGGAUGCUUCUAGGAAUGUCCAUCCCAUUACUCUUCUAGGAGUCUACACCAUUACUCUUCUAGGAAGAAUUUGUAGGUCUGGAGGUCUCCUGGAAAUCUGAUGCCGAAUAGGUAGUUUCUUCAAGCAACUUUUGAAGCAUCUUGUUGCAUUUUUAAAGCAGAAGUGACACCUAGUGUUGAGGAGAGGUCAUUGUCUAUCACGUUUGUACAUGGACCAGGAUGCUGAGCUGGUUAGGAGAGCAACUGGGUGAUGAGGUGUGUGAGAAGGACAAGAUGCUGGAUUUGUUUUCUGAAUGUGACACUUUUGUGAGCUUGAGAGUCUUAACCAAACGGGGUGCUAUAAAGCUAAGACCUUCCAGGUAUCUUUGUUUGUUUGUUUGUUUUUUUCUAGUAUUGAGCUCCCAGUUAGUCUAAGCCAAUAAGUCUAAGUAAGUCACCCAGUAAGUCUAAGGGGGACUGCAGCAAACAGAGAAAAUCAAUAAAUUAAAAAAAAAAAAAAAGAAGAAUCUGUGUAAGAUGCAAUUAUGCAAAAAAAAAAGAAGGCGUCUUUUUCCUCAAGGGGUUGGAAGCGAAUGGUAUUGAUUUGUGUUUUAGUGGGUGGGCCGUCCAUAGCCCACAUAGGGUAUUCUGUGGUCUGGUCAUAUGUUGUGUGUUCAGAAACUUUUUUGUUUCCCAAGAAACAGAAGUCUGAUCAAGAAGUGCAGAAGAGAGACUGGCAAAGAAUUGUUUGACCACCACUAGCUAGCACCAAAAGAAGUUAAGAACAAACCAAAACCUCCUCCAAUAAAACACUGUCCUGGUGCCUUGCAUCCACAACUACCAGGAAAAAUAAGCAAAUGGGGAGAUGCAGUUCAUGUAUAAAUUACCACCCUGCCUGCCUACCAACCCCAAUUUAAAGUAAGGAAUAAGUAAAGAUGAGUAGUUACUGAGAUAAAAGCUAAGGUAUCCACUGUGGUAUGUGGAUAAAGAACCUGCUACUAAAAUAGUGUGAUCUUGAAGCACUUAGUGAGGCGAUGAAGCUAUAUUUAUUAAGCCUGGCAUUAAAAAGACUGGAGGAGAGGAGAGUCUAAUUUCUGUCUGUCACUACCUAAAGAGGGUGUUGGGCAACAGAACGAGACUCAGUUGAGGUACAAAACAAAAAGACAGGAGGCAAUGGAGGUGGUAGAAACCAGCUGUAGAAUGGGAAAUUCUGUCUGGACGUUAACAGGAAGUCUUUUUCUGAGAGUGGUUCAGCACUGCCCAGCUGGGCAGCCUCUGUCCUUUGGAGAUGUCUGGAAGUAGCCUGGAGCAGACUCCUUGCUGCUUUGAGGUGCUGCUGAUCGCCUGCUGCUGAAGUCUGAGGUAGGAUUUGACCAUGCAAUAAGCUCAGCCUCUGUUUCUAUAAUGAGAACCUGGUAGUGUUUCUACUGGAAUUUCAUUCUCCUGUGCAAAAGCAGUCUUUGUUUCUUGUCCUUGCUCACCCUGUAUGAGUAAUGUUUGUCUAUUUUUGUUAUGUACUCUAAGACUUACAGAUGGAAAAGCAACAUGCCAACAUGCUGCAGUAUUUUUCAGAUGGAAUAAAAGCAAUGCUUUUAAUAUGGGUCAUGCUGCCAGGUCCUCUAAAAGCAUUUUACUGUGGUUUUUGUUGUUUUUUAAUGGCUGGAGUAGAUCCAGGCUUAUGGUGAAGUCUUCCUUCUGGAUACGUGCACAUCUUGCUAGACUUGACCUGAUUGUGAUGGAUUUUCAUGAAAGCUGUACUUAGUUUUUCCAGCGCGUUCAUCUUUUACUUUAGUGCUGCUAUUUCUUAUGACUUGCUGUAUGUUAUGUUAUUUGACAGUCUUUUUGCAGGCUGUGUGCCUGGCAUGAAUUUACAACUCAGCUUGCUUAAAAGUGGACAGGCUGUGGAGACGUACCUGAAGUGUGAAGCAGCUGUGUGCCAACACCAGCAGGGAAAAAACAGGAGGAGUCAUUUGAUGAAUAUUUUAAAAUCACUUGCUUUUCAGCACAGUGCUGAGCCAAAAGUAGGGUAGAGUCUCUGUCUUCAGCUAUGGUUAUUUACUGCUUGAUUGCUUGUUUCUGAAACAGUAUGCGGUUUGGAUGAAGGAAAAUAUUAGGGUUGCCAACGGUCAGGAUCUGUGUUAUCUUUUGUCACUAGUACUAGAUCUAGAUCAUUUGGUUGUAUGUGUAAAACUUUUCCCGUUCUGUUCUCAAAAAAAUCAGAUUAAAUUCAUCACAGAAAGAAUUGUUUCAGAGAUACCUUUGCUAACAUGCAGAGCCUUUUCAAGCAAGCAGAUAGAUCUGAUACUUGAAGAAAAAUGCAAUGGUUCUGCUUUUUGGCCUAUGGCUACCUGGUGACGACUGUCUCUUCUUGGAUAUGGUCUGUGUGCUGUUGUGCUGUUUGAGUCAAGGAGAACACAUUCAGAUGGGUGCCCUGGCAGAGCUGCCAAGUGACUAUAGCGAUGUGACUUCGUGCUGUUCCAAGGUUGUCAUCCAACUUCUACAGCAAGAAAUCUGAACUACAGAAGUAUAGCUGAAAAGGCCAAAAACGCCAUCUAUGAGAAUGCAAACUUCCAGGGAUCCUCCAAAGAAUUAGCCAGUGACACUGCCAAUCUGAAAGAUGUGCAUUGGAAUGGCCGUCUCCUCAGUAAAAGUAAUAGAACAGCUUUGGGUGGCUUAUGAGCACUUCAGCUAUGCAGGCCAGGUAUUGGUAUUUGAGGAGGGGCAACAUAGAUUUGCUGGUGAACAGUGAAAUGACAAGAUCACUUUCCUGCACAUGAUCUGCAGAUCUGCAGAUCAGUCUAUGAACAUGCUCAGUAUUGAGGGAAGAGUAGGGUGAUAACAGAAACAACCAGCCUGGGUUGGGGACAUGCCACUGACAUUGUCACCAAGUCCAGAGAGGUGCACAGCCGUUGUAUGAACACAGAGACGUGAUUUAUGCUAGAUUGCAUGAGAAUAUGAACACCUUCCAUGUUACAACACAAUUUCAAUGACAAGCUUCCAUUUAUACAUCUACUUCUGCCACAGGCAGAUUAAGUAGCUGGUGUGCCAAGCAGUGACAGAGGCUAUAACCACCGAAAGCAAGCAAGGUAUCCCAGCAAGCCUAUCUUCACCACUUCCAUGGACAUCACUGGAUACAAAGGACACCUUUCAUGGGUCAAAUAGGCAAAUGGGAUGAGGACAAGGAGGGCGCUGAAGAAACUUUGUGUGUUGCACACCACAGAUGUGCUCUGAGGACCACCCACUGCUCAGCGUUCCUUCAGGAUUGUGACUGUGUUUCUAUUCUUUACCUCCAAAAGAAUACACUAAAAACUACAUGACAGACUAAGUUUCAAUAUAAUUUGAAUUAUUAAUUUCAUUUGCAUAUGAAAUAUGCAAGGCUUUAUUACAGAUGUAGGCUCACUGUUUCAGGAACUGUUUUGACAUGUACAGGCUUAUCUGGAGAAUUUGGAGUUGCAGUUCCAAAUGACACUGCUAAAUGGCAUCUGCACUCUGAGCCAUACUGUAGAAGUUGUUGUGCAGCUCUGCAUUUUAAAUCUCAUCCGUCUCAGUGCUGAGAUCCUGCUCUUGCAUUCAUAGCUGGACACAGAGCCUAUAAGCAUGCAGGGUGAUCGGCUGCUGGGCUUUGACCUGUUUAAAAACAAACACAGCAGGAUCUUUUGACGUGUCAGCACUCUGUGGUCCUUUCCAAGGCUCCUGGAGGUAGAUGCAAAGAUGACAAUUCAGGCUUCAUGUGGUAUAGGACACUUCUUACUAAUAUGUGCUCAAUUUCUGAUUUUCUUGCUUUAUUCAUCACAGGUCUUCUAAAAGGGUUUCAAGAUUCAAGUGAGAGAACUCUGAGUAUCGUCCUUACUAUAGACCAAAAUAACUAGGACAGUAUGAAGCCAGCUGUGCCAAAAGGAAGAAGUGUUACCAUGAGACAGAGGGGAAGGAUCUAACAUUGGUGUGUUCAAAUGCAGACUGUGGCAGUGGUGCGAGUGUACUGUGCAUGGUGUUCUCAGCCUGCUCAGUAAGGCAGAUCAGUCUGGCUGUAUCAUCACUGUUAGGUUUCUUCCAGAGGGCCUAAGCACAACACUUCGUGCAAUAUAUAAGAAAACUGCAGAACAUCAAUGCAUGUAAUGUUUUUAAUCCUGUUACUAAUGUAACUUUCCAUUAUUAAUACCUUUUGGAGUAACAAAUCUAGGUGGCUGAGGUCAUCAUCUUCUGUCCAAACAAAUCUGCAAAAUAAAUGAUGUUGGAAAUCCUACUGAAUUGCCAUGAUGGUGUCUCAGGGUUCCCUUUCAGCAUCUUGGCAUGAUAUUGACAACAUAUGGGUACAGUUGAUAGGCCUGAAAUUAUUCAGGGUGUCUCUAAUUUGAUUUCUAGGAAAUGUGCAUAACAGUAUUUACUUCAUGUAAAGCAUCACUUAGGAAGGAAUGUAUUCUCUUAUUCUCUUGGCAUAUAUAACUGAAAUUUUCUUUAUUGUUGGAACAUUUCCAACUCUGAUAAGCAUCAUCUCUGCAUUUAAGUUUUCCCUGUAUUUUUGAUGACAUUACCUUAUAUGAUUUAUUUUAC
Molecule: long non-coding RNA, 6174 nt
Organism: Gallus gallus (chicken)
Lineage: Eukaryota; Metazoa; Chordata; Aves; Galliformes; Phasianidae
Source: Ensembl